CAUUAUCUUCAAAAAAUUGCUGC
RNAcentral lists this non-coding RNA (23 nucleotides) under Arabidopsis thaliana (thale cress). The record is from RNAcentral. Lineage: Eukaryota; Viridiplantae; Streptophyta; Magnoliopsida; Brassicales; Brassicaceae.